UGAAUUUAAGCAUAUCAGUAAGCGGUGGAAAAGAAACUAACUAGUAUUCCUUUAGUAACGGCGAGUGAAAAAGGAUUAGCCCAACACCGAAUCCUUUGACAUUUUAUGUCUUGGGAGUUGUAGUGUUUGCAUGUUUACUUAGUAAAAUUAAUGCUUCUCAAGUCCAUUUGAACAUGGCGAUGUUUCCAUCGGGGGUGAAAGGCCCGUGUGAGUUGAUUAAUUUGCUUUGUAGAUAUGUUUGAGUCGGUUUGCUUGAUAUUGCAGACUAAAGUGGGUGGUAGAUUCCAUCUAAGGCUAAAUAUACGAACGAAUCCGAUAGUAAACAAGUACCGUGAGGGAAAGUUGAAAAGAACUUUGAAAAGAGAGUUCAAUAGUACGUGAAGCUGCUUGUAUGUGAUGGAAUAGAUCCGAAAUGAUGCAUGUCAAUAAACCGGUGAUGUUUGGCUUUGCCUCAAUGUAGAGCGUCGGACUAAUCUGGUGGAUUUGUGUGUGUCGGACAGAUGAUACUAUAAUUAUGAAUUUAAUCUUUGUUGGAAGCCUUUUGGUGGAAUCAUUGAUGAGUUUUCGUAGUUUUAGUAAAUGUGAAUUAAAGUGUGUUACUAAUAGACUUUUGUUACAAUGUGCUUAUUGGCUAAAAGUUUCACACUUAUUUUGCGUCAAUCUGUCUAUACGUAGGCAUCUAUCCUACCCGUCUUGAAACACGGACCAAGGAGUUUAAUAUCUACGCGAGUUAUUGGACUAUAAAUCCAAAAGCGCAGUGAAGGCACGUAGCUUUGAACCUGUCAAACAACGGGUACAUUAGCAGGUCGUCUUAAAUGUUUACAUUUGGGCGAAUCAAGAGCGUAGAUAUUAAGACCCGAAAGAUGGUGAACUAUGCUUGUGCAGAUUGAAGCCAGAGGAAACUCUGGUGGAGGAUCAAAGCGGUUCUGACGUGCAAAUCGAUCGUCAGACAUGAGUAUAGGGGCGAAAGACUAAUCGAACCAUCUAGUAGCUGGUUCCCUCCGAAGUUUCCCUCAGGAUAGCAGACAUUAGCCACAGUUUUUUUCGGUAAAGCUAAUGAUUAGAGGGAUCGGGAAUAAAAUGUUCUCAACCUAUUCUCAAACUUUAAAUGGAAGAGAAGCAGGGCUCACUUAAGUGGAGUCAUACAUGAAAUGGUAAUGUUUAGUGGGCCAUUUUUGGUAAGCAGAACUGGCGCUGUGGGAUGAACCAAAAGUUGAUUUAGAUCGUCUAAGAUAGACGCUCAUGAGAUACCACAAAAGGUGUUGGUUGGUAUAGACAGCAGGACGGUGGCCACGGAAGUCGGCAUCCGCUAAGGAGUGUGUAACAACUCACCUGCCGAAUCAACCAGCCCUGAAAAUUGAUGACGCUGAAGCGUUGUUGAUUAUAAUCAACUUGUACGGCAGACAUAUAUGAUGUCCUACAAAGUAGGAGGGUCAAUGUAAUGGCUAUGAAGUUGUGAUCAUGAGAUCAGGUGGAGCCGUUACAUGCGCAGAUCUUGGUAGCAGUAGCAAAUAUUCAAGUGAGAACCUUGAAGACUGAAGCGGAGAAGGGUUUCAUGUGAACAGUAGUUGCACAUGAGUCAGGCGGUCCUUAGCUGAUAUCAAUGCAAAAUGCAUUAGCAGUGAUUUUUUCUGGUGGAUAGCUGCUGUCAGCGAAAGGGAAUCGGGUUAAUAUUCCCGACCUUGCGAGUGGAGAUUUGCCUCAUUAGAGGUGGAUAAGUGGUAACACAAACAAAAUUGGAGACACUGGCGUAUGUUCCCGGAAGAGUUAUCUUUUCUUUGUUAGGAAUAUUUGUCCCUGGAAUCAGUUUAUCUGGCGAUAGGGAUGAUAAUUCCGUAAAGCAUCGCAUUUCUUGCGAUGUCGGGGUCAUUUAUGUCAGUCCGUGAAAAUCCGAUUGCGUAAUUAUCAAUCUCUCCGCAAACCGUACCUAUAACCGCAUCAGGUCUCCAAGGUGAGCAGCCUCUAGUCGAUAAAACAAUGUAGGUAAGGGAAGUCGGCAAAUUAGAUCCGUAACUUCGGGAAAAGGAUUGGCUCUGAGGGCCGGGUUUAACGGGCUUUAGUCUGAAGGUUGUUGACUGCGUUUGAUGCUGAGAUAUCUUUGUGAGUUUUACUUGCAUUGAAGUUUUAGCUAUUAUAUGUGGUUGAUUUUCUGGCGGCUAAAGGGAGUGAUGGAACAAAUGUUUCAUAGAUCGUUAAAUUUAAUACGGUUAACUCAGAACUGGCACGGACCUGGGGAAUCCGACUGUCUAAUUAAAACAAAGCAUUGCGAUGUUCGGUGAUUGUAUUUGACGCAAUGUGAUUUCUGCUCAGUGGUCUGAAUGUGAAAGUGGAGAAAUUCAGCCAAGCUCGGCUAAACAGCAGGAGUAACUAUGACUCUUUUUUGGUAGCCAAAUGCCUCGUCAUCUAAUUAGUGACGCGCAUGAAUGGAUUAACGAGAUUCCUACUGUCCCUAUUUACUAUUUAGCGAAAUUACAGCCAGGGGAACGGUCCUGGAAACGUUAACGGGGAAAGAAGACCCUGUUGAGCUUGACUCUAGUCCGGUUCUGUAAAGAAACAUGAGAGGUGUAGCAUAAGUGGGAGACUUUUGUCGAAUUUGGAAUACCACUACUUUUAUGGUUUCUUUACUUAUUCAGUGAUGCGGAAGCAAGCUCGGCGUGUAGUCGUGUUUGAAGUAUAUAUAUUGAAAUGUGUAACCACGGGUUGCACAUAAUCUCGAUCUGAAGACAGUGUCAGAUAGGGAGUUUGACUGGGGCGGUACAUCUGUCAAAAGGUAACGCAGGUGUCCAAAGAUAAGCUCAGGCAGAACAGAAAUCUGUCGUGGAUUAUAAGGAAAAAAGCUUAUUUGAUUUUAAUUUUCAGUACAAAUGUAGACCGUGAAAGCGCGGCCUAACGAUCCUUUUGAUAUUUUCCGAAUUCUAAAGCAAGAGGUAUCAGAAAAGUUACCACAGGGAUAACUGGCUUGUGGCAGCCAAGCGACCAUAGCGACGUUGCUUUUUGAUCCUUCGAUGUCGGCUCUUCCUAUCAUUGUGAAGCAGAAUUCACAAAGCGUUGGAUUGUUCACCCACUAACAGGGAACGUGAGCUGGGUUUAGACCGUCGUGAGACAGGUUAGUUUUACCCUACUAACCUUAUAUUGUUGAAACGGUAAUGUCGCAUAGUACGAGAGGAACAGCGAUUUCGGAUCUCUGGUUUUGCGCCUGGUUGAAAAGCCAUGGCGCGAAGCUACCGUCCGAGGGAUUAAGAUUGAACGCCUCUAAGUCAGAAUCA
This 3266-nucleotide ribosomal RNA is filed under the name Kronborgia isopodicola. Its description in RNAcentral is "eukaryotic LSU rRNA". It matches the Rfam family "Eukaryotic large subunit ribosomal RNA". Lineage: Eukaryota; Metazoa; Platyhelminthes; Fecampiida; Fecampiidae. The record is from RNAcentral.